AGGGGAUAACAAACUUGCUACUGAUUGCACACCAGCAACAAAUCCUUGUGCUUUUCCCUGUAUUGAAUCACUAGAAAUUAGAACCCCUGAUAAAUGGAAAUAAAAUCAUGAAUGAAAGAGGAAAGAAGCCAGAAAAGAUCAGUAACACAACCCCCUCCCCCUCCCACACAUCCCCUGGGCUAGUUUGCACUUUACACCAAGUGCAAGUUAAAUCUGCCACUGGUUUGUCCUAAUUUUUUCUGAAGUUCAGUGAUUGUACUAAAAAAAAAAAUUCCAAGUUCGCAUAUGAAGUUUAAAAAAGAUUUGCAUAGGUAUGCACUCUAUCUAUUUUUAGCACCCGUAAAAGUUUGACAUACGCUUACAGAUCCAAAAAAAUAAAAGUUUAGAGACCCAUAAUUUUACAAACCUGAUCUGCUGAGCUUGAUGCUUUGGAAACUAUAGCAUAGGUCUGCACAAGAAUGAAUUCAGCACAAAAGGCAGAAAGAAUUAGACAUUCCAGUAAUUUGAACGAAGGGACAUCAUUGGCCCUUACGAAUGGUGGGGUUGGGUUUGUGGGCGUGUGGUGUGGUGGUGUGGGGGUUGUGGUCAUGGGGGUUGGGGGCGCAACAUAGCACUUACAGAAGGUGUCACAAGGACAUAAAUGGCUCCGAAAGAGGCACUCAAAUAUGCCACCUGCAAUUGGCAAUGAGAAACUUUGUAUACUAAUUUAAUAGAGAAAGAAAUAUCUUGGAUAAUCUCUGAAUUUCCAGGUGAACUUACUUACAAAUAGUUCUACUUGUCACAAUAAAUUUCUCCUAAGUUUCAUCAUAUGUUAUACUUUCACAGGAAAAUUUUGUAACAUGCAUAAUGCAAACAGCAUUCUCAUCUUAUUUUCAAUUAGCUGCCAACUUUUAUUUCAAAUUGAUAACUAAUAUUACUAAACAAUGAACAGAAAUAAUAGCCAUAACACAGCAAAGAAUAAAGUAAAAUGUUCAAUAUCUUGACAAAAUUCCACAGGCGUUUCACUUAAACCCUUUUGCUUAAAAGGCCAUAGAAAUUUAUAUUCUCAGGAAUAAAGUGCAUAUGAAUACAUACCCAAGAUGCCCACGCCAAACCGUAGAACAAUGCAUAAGCUAUUGAUGCAAGUAA
RNAcentral lists this unclassified non-coding RNA (1128 nucleotides) under Hevea brasiliensis (rubber tree). Lineage: Eukaryota; Viridiplantae; Streptophyta; Magnoliopsida; Malpighiales; Euphorbiaceae. The record is from RNAcentral.